GGGCCCGUGGCCUAGUCAGGAUAUGGCGCCAGCCUUCUAAGCUGGUGAUCGUGGGUGCGAAUCCCACCGGGCCCG
RNAcentral lists this transfer RNA (75 nucleotides) under Thermoplasmata archaeon. RNAcentral's name for it is "tRNA-Arg". It matches the Rfam family "tRNA". From Rfam's summary of the family: Transfer RNA (tRNA) molecules are approximately 80 nucleotides in length. Lineage: Archaea; Methanobacteriati; Thermoplasmatota; Thermoplasmata. RNAcentral also lists the same sequence under 1 other name. The record is from RNAcentral.